GACGGAGGGUGCAAGCGUUGUUCGGAAUCAUUGGGCGUAAAGGGCGCGCAGGCGGCCUCCCAUGUCCGGUGUGAAAGCCCGGGGCUCAACUCCGGAAGCGCACUGGAAACUGGGUGGCUUGAGUCCGAGAGGGGACCGUGGAAUUUCUGGUGUAGGGGUGAAAUCCGUAGAGAUCAGAAGGAACACCGGAGGUGAAAACGACGGUCUGGAUCGGGGCUGACGCUGAGGCGCGAAAGCGCGGGUAGCGAACAGG
Molecule: ribosomal RNA, 253 nt
Filed under: uncultured bacterium
Lineage: Bacteria
Description: partial 16S ribosomal RNA
Rfam family: Bacterial small subunit ribosomal RNA
Source: RNAcentral